This 407-nucleotide ribosomal RNA is filed under the name uncultured bacterium. RNAcentral's name for it is "partial 16S ribosomal RNA". It matches the Rfam family "Bacterial small subunit ribosomal RNA", at positions 30 to 526 of the family's 1533-position model. The record is from RNAcentral.
AUUGAACGCUGGCGGCAGGCCUAACACAUGCAAGUCGAACGGAGUGGCGAACGGGUGAGUAAUGUAUCGGAACGUGCCCCGUAGCGGGGGAUAACUAUGCGCAAGCGUAGCUAAUCCUGCAUACUAUUGGAGCGGCCUGUAUCGGAUUAGCUAGUUGGUGGGGUAACGGCUCACCAAGGCGACGAUCCGUAGCUGGUGUGAGAGGCAGACCAGCCACACGGGGACUGAGAAACGGCCCAGACUCCUACGGGAGGCAGCAGUGGGGAAUUUUGGACAAUGGGGGAAAGCCUGAUCCAGCCAUCCCGCGUGUGCGAUGAAGGCCUUCGGGUUGUAAAGCACUUUUGGCAGGGAAGCGGUACCUGCAGAAGAAGCACCGGCUAACUACGUGCCAGCAGCCGCGGUAAUUC